Molecule: long non-coding RNA, 952 nt
Filed under: Salvia miltiorrhiza (redroot sage)
Lineage: Eukaryota; Viridiplantae; Streptophyta; Magnoliopsida; Lamiales; Lamiaceae
Description: long non-coding RNA (SMIL_LNC007368)
Source: RNAcentral
CAUAAAAUCAAAAAUCAAACAAACUCUCUCUCUUCUAAUUCCAGCCAUUGCCGCUGCCAACUGUCGUGCCCUGGCCUGUCGUCAAACACCGCGAAUUAGGGCUCGAAGCCCAGCCGAUGUCGAAGUAUGCUCUCAGUCGUCAUGCCCGUCGCCACAUCCACCGCGAACUAGGGCUCGAAGCCUUGCCCCGCACCUCUCGUCGAAGCCGUUGUCGCCGUUGAAGCCGCUCGCUGCUGCCACCUCAAAGCCCCUGCCGCCGCCCCGGCCCUCCCAUCAAAUGUGGCCGCCGUCCUCAAGUCCGCUGCCGCCAUCGAACCUGGUAAGAUUUUCUUACAAAGUUUUUCAGUUGGUGCUUCGUUUAGUUAUGUGCAGCACAUGUAAGAUUUUAUUCUAGAAGAAAAUUGAUCUAUCUUACAAAAUUUUCAGUUUGGUGCUUCGUUUUCAAAUCGUUAUAUUUACUCUUUAGAAUCAGAUAAUGAUGAAAUUGAGAUGUAUAUAAAAAGAAAAAAAACCCUUAAAAGCACAAAGAAGCAGACUAAGGGUCGAGCCUCAUUAAAACUUUGCUAAGGUAAACCCCAAGGGAAAACCCUUAACAAGGAAAAAUAGUGCUCGUCAAGACAAAACCAAACGAAACGCAGAAGGCUGGAGAUUGGGAAGGACCACUUCGGGAGCGCCAGCCUAACCAUUGCCCCCAAGCGGCCCCGGUCUCUCCGAAGCUGGAAAAAUAAACAAGACAACAUAGCAAAACAUAAAACAACGCAAAAAUUCUCAACCUCCUUAUCCACCAAGACACAAACCGCCGAUAGCAGCACAUACCCAAGGCAGGAACAACCGAGCCACAUACUAAAAAACCUCAUGGAAGAAGCAUCCAAAGAAGAAAAGUAAAACAACCCAUAACCUGAACGCGCACCAAGUGUUUGCAAAAAUGCCGCCAAGAGAGCACAACCCAUAA